AAGAACCGUUUUCUGCCAUUACUGUGGAAUGAGCCGUGAAAUGGGCAUUCGGCUUCACCUGCCCUCCAGGUUGAAGGUUUAGGGAGCAGAAGAAAAUGUUCCUGAGCAGCAAAUGGAACUGAGAGAUGAAUGAAAGGUGAGCAAACAGGAACGGGUUUUGGUCGUUAAGGAAAAGUUUGGAAAGUGGCCUCCACUUCAACCAGCCAAUCCGGACGUUUCGUAACCUCCUGCACGCUAACUGCAUUAAGGGCGUCAUCUCAGGACUGCAGGCUCUUUUGUACCUGGCAUCCUCGCUGCAGCAGCUCCUCACCUUUCAUAUCACGCAACUAUAAACAGGUAUAUCCGCCCCGGCGAGCCGCAGUGGAGCUGAGGAGUCAACGUGGAGAAAUGAUUAACCUCCUUGGACGGUUCCUGUGAAAGGCCGCCGCUCUGUUAUCUCCCUAUAGAUGGAACUUUAUUGACGUAAUGCAGAAAGUUUAACUUCCACAGUAAAAAUCAAAGAGGAGAACGCUGCAUUUCCACAGUCAGGAUGGAGAUUAUUCAUUAACUUCACUUGUUAAAAUCAGUUUAACUUAAUAAAAAAGCAGACCCGUUAGUGAGGUCCAGA
This is a long non-coding RNA of Oryzias melastigma (Indian medaka), 607 nucleotides long. RefSeq lists it as uncharacterized. The transcript is spliced from 3 exons. The record is from RefSeq and is a predicted model, not a curated record. NCBI's taxonomy places the organism in Eukaryota, Metazoa, Chordata, Actinopteri, Beloniformes, Adrianichthyidae.